Molecule: ribosomal RNA, 482 nt
Filed under: uncultured bacterium
Lineage: Bacteria
Description: partial 16S ribosomal RNA
Rfam family: Bacterial small subunit ribosomal RNA
Source: RNAcentral
AUUGAACGCUGGCGGCAUGCCUUACACAUGCAAGUCGAACGGUAACAGGUCUUCGGAUGCUGACGAGUGGCGAACGGGUGAGUAAUACAUCGGAACGUGCCCGAUCGUGGGGGAUAACGGAGCGAAAGCUUUGCUAAUACCGCAUACGAUCUACGGAUGAAAGCAGGGGACCGCAAGGCCUUGCGCGGACGGAGCGGCCGAUGGCAGAUUAGGUAGUUGGUGGGAUAAAAGCUUACCAAGCCGACGAUCUGUAGCUGGUCUGAGAGGACGACCGGCCACACUGGGACUGAGACACGGCCCAGACUCCUACGGGAGGCAGCAGUGGGGAAUUUUGGACAAUGGGCGAAAGCCUGAUCCAGCCAUGCCGCGUGCAGGAUGAAGGCCUUCGGGUUGUAAACUGCUUUUGUACGGAACGAAAAGACUCUUUCUAAUAAAGAGGGUCCAUGACGGUACCGUAAGAAUAAGCACCGGCUAACUACGUG